Long non-coding RNA from Nerophis ophidion (straightnose pipefish), 392 nucleotides. RefSeq lists it as uncharacterized. The transcript is spliced from 3 exons. NCBI's taxonomy places the organism in Eukaryota, Metazoa, Chordata, Actinopteri, Syngnathiformes, Syngnathidae. The record is from RefSeq and is a predicted model, not a curated record.
UGGUAGGACAGCACUGACUGGAACGGGUUAGUCGAGGACUGAAAGGCUGAAUACCCACCAUGCCAAUAGAAGGGCCCAAACCUCCAGUCAUUUCCAUCUGGUGGUUCUUCAUGAUGUAUGCGAGGAGCUCCCUCCAAUUGUAGCCGUCAGGAAUGGCGAUGGUGGUCACUGAGGGAAGCCUCAGCUCCUGCAGAGCAUUGCACCAAAUCAGCACUGACAACGAUGCAAGGGAUGAAAAGUUUGAGGCCCAAGUCUUCAAGUCCUUUGUACAGGUAGGAUGCCACCUCCUUGUGUUUCCUCCAUGACUCCUCCAGCCCCUAGUCGGUGACAAACAUCAGUGUUCUUCAGCUCCCUCUUAAUAGACUAAAUCAGUGGUUCUUAACCAGGGUUCG